UGGAGGAAAGUAGGGGAUCGCAAGACCUUGCGCUUUUGGAGUGGCCGAUGCCUGAUUAGCUAGUUGGUGGGGUAAUGGCCUACCAAGGCGACGAUCAGUAGUUGGUCUGAGAGGACGACCAGCCACACUGGGACUGAGACACGGCCCAGACUCCUACGGGAGGCAGCAGUGGGGAAUUUUGGACAAUGGGCGAAAGCCUGAUCCAGCAAUGCCGCGUGAGUGAAGAAGGCCUUCGGGUUGUAAAGCUCUUUCAGUCGAGAAGAAAAGGUUGUGACUAAUAAUCACAACUCAUGACGGUAUCGACAGAAGAAGCACCGGCUAACUACGUGCCAGCAGCCGCGGUAAUACGUAGGGUGCGAGCGUUAAUCGGAAUUACUGGGCGUAAAGGGUGCGCAGGCGGCUUUGUAAGUCAGAUGUGA
This 419-nucleotide ribosomal RNA is filed under the name uncultured ammonia-oxidizing beta proteobacterium. RNAcentral's name for it is "bacterial SSU rRNA". It matches the Rfam family "Bacterial small subunit ribosomal RNA", at positions 197 to 597 of the family's 1533-position model. Lineage: Bacteria; Pseudomonadati; Pseudomonadota; Betaproteobacteria. The record is from RNAcentral.